CUCUUGAUGACUUCUGGCUGGGGAAUCCACCAUCAGGGGCUAGGUUGGAGCUAGUAAUUGCCCACCUGGAACCUGCCUGGCCUCCAUUACAGGAACAAGCAACAGCUUGGCAUGGCACCGGAUCCAAUUGUGUCCCCAACACCACCACCCACCCUUUUCUCAUCCCUCUGCCCAUCCCAAGCUCAAGACAACCAGGCCCAGUGAAGCCAAGGUUGGGGCCAUUCCAGAAGGCCGGGGGAAAAAAAAGAUGAGGCACCGUAGCCCUCACGGUCGGCUCCUUGGGACUCCAGUGCUCACCGCUCAUCCGAGGGCAGAGAGAAGCCCCUCGCAGGCCGCCCCUGCAGAGGCCGCACUGUGCUGGACCAGGCCCGGGAGUCCAGUUGCCCCAGCUCACCCCUUGGACCUCGGGCGUGUGCCUAGCCUCACGUCGAGGGUGUAUGUGUGGCUGCACAGGGAGUGUGUGAGUGUGGCAGAGGGAGGGGGGCCCUUCGAGCUGCUCCAUCCGUCCGUUUUAUUAGGGACACAUUAAUCUAUAAUCAAAUACACCUCAUAAAAUUUUUA
Peromyscus maniculatus bairdii (prairie deer mouse) is the source of this 561-nucleotide non-coding RNA. The record is from RefSeq and is a predicted model, not a curated record. Lineage: Eukaryota; Metazoa; Chordata; Mammalia; Rodentia; Cricetidae.